GGUGACGUCACGGUUCCCACACAACAGAGAGAUGCGCACUGAGUUAUAAGACGAGGCGGUUGUUCAGUGCGGUAAAAAAUUUUUUUAAAGAAAAGCAAUAAGUAAUAAAGAUCCUGCCGAAUAGGUUUUUUUAAAGAGGAGUUGGACAUUCUGUUGAAAAGGCAUAUCAUUUCUCAUAAGGUGUCUCUGUUGUAUAGCAGAUGAAUUUUGAGCAGCCUCCCCGUACCAGGCCCCUGGUUACCCCCAGCAGGGUUACCCCCAGCAGGGUUACCCCCAGCAGGGAUACCCCCAGCAGGGAUACCCUCCCCAGGGUUACCCCGUAAACAUGGAGCAACCUGGAGGAUUCCCUCCUCAAAACCCAGGCUACCCUGCUGGCCCCGGGGGACCGCCUGGACCCUACCCCGGCCAGGGACAAGCAGGCCCCUACCAGGAGGGCUACCCUGGACAGCCCCAGUUUGGAUGGCAAGGAGGACCACCCCCAGGACCCAUGUAUGGAGAGGCACCUAAAAACACAGUGUACGUGGUGGAGGAGAGAAGGAGAGAUGAUUCAGGAGACACGUGUCUGACUGCCUGUUGGACGGCUCUCUGCUGCUGCUGCUUGUGGGACAUGCUCACAUAACCUCUGACCCUUGACAUUUACCCUUAUCUGCUUUGACCCUUACCCUUUACCUCCUAACCCUUAACCCAUAGUUCCUCUCAUCUGUAAUAGAAAACAAGUACUGGGAGAAAUAGAACACUAUGAGUAUCUGGGAAACCAAGCCUAAUAUUUAUAGCGGACUUUGAAAAGCCCUUUGAUAAAGUACCACCAGAAUUUAUAUGUAAAUGCCUGGACCAUUUUAAUUUUGGAGAGUCUCUUAUAAGAUGGCUUAAAGUUAUGUAUAGUAACCCCAGGUGUAAAAUAGCAAAUAAUGGCUACUUCUCGGGAAGUAUUAAACUGUCAAGAGGAGUAAAACAAGGUUGUCCACUAUCGGCAUAUCUAUUUAUUAUGGCCAUCAAAAUGUUAUCUGUUCAAAUCAGAUCCAACAAUAACAUCAAGGGUCUAGAAACACAGGGCUUAAAAACAAAGGUGUCGUUGCACGCUGAUCAUUCAUGUUUUCUUUUAAAUAUGCAAUUUGGAUCCCUGCACAGCCUCCUAGAGGAUGUAGAACCUUUUUCUAACCUCUGGAUUAAAACCAGAAUGAUGAUAAAUGCACCAUAUUACUAUUAGUAUUGGAUCACUAAAAAAGACAACUUUUACAUUACCGUGUAGUUUACCAAUAAAAUGGUCUGACGAUGAUGUAGUGGACAUACUUGGUAUACAUAUCCCAAAAGAAAGAAAUGAUCUCGAUACAAUAUAUAUUUAUAGAAAGUUAGCCAAAUUAGAUACCAUUUUGCUACCAUGGAAAGGACGACAUCUGUUUAUUUGUGGAAAAAUUACCCUGAUUGAAUUUUUUUGUCAUAUCCCAGUUUACCUAUUUACUUCCUUAUGGCCUACACCUAACGACUUGUUUAUUCACCUAUUUACUUCCUUAUGGCCCUGCCUACACCUAACAACUUGUUUAUUCAAUUAUAUGAGCAAAAAAAUUCCACCUAAUUUUGAAUGGCAAGCCGGAGAAAAUUCUCUAGCAGAUUAAAAAAAAAAGGUUUAAAAAUGUUAUAAUCUUCGUAAAUGAUAUCAUAAAUAGGACUGGUGGAAUUAUGUCACACAUGCAGUUAACAAAAAAAUAUGGAAAUGUCUGCUCUAUCCAAAAUUACAACCAACUGAUUGCAGCAUUGUGGAAAGGGGAGGUAAGGAACGUGACUGUUGGCCCGGCAUUAAAGACCAAAAUUGAUUAAAGAAAAUUGUGAUAAAUAAAAAGUAUAACAGUUUCAUUUAAGGACCCAAAAAAUGACAGCUGCACCAUAAAGGAUGAUAAAUAGUUGGGAGGAGAUUUUCAAUGUACUGAUUCCAUGGUACCUGGUUUAUGAACUGAUACACAAAACGACGCCGGAUUCUAAACAUAAGAGUUUUUCAAUUUAAAUUAUUAUCCACAAUUCUUGCAACCAACAUAAUGUCAUAUAUAUGGGGGAUACAACCAUCCCAGCUCUUCUGAUUUUGCUGUGAAGAGACAGAGUCAUUUGGUACUGCCCUGAUACUGCCCUGAUGUAGCUUGUUUUUGGUCGGAGGUUCAGGAAUGGCAAAAAAGAUUGCAACAUUUACCUGGAGCUAACUCUGCAAAUAGCACUACUGGAUGAUUUGAAAAGUCAUAGUCAAUUGAUCAAUAAUGUAAUAAUACUCUUAGCACAAUUUUAAAAAUGUAAUUUACAAUCUGUAGGAACUAAGAAUAUAAAGUUUCAGAGCUUUUGUGAAACAUCACAGCACAGUGGAAAUCGAUAUAUAGAUGGGAGGGGUUGAGUGUAGCUGAAGGCUGGGAUGCUAAUGUAAAAUAUAUUGUCCAUAAAUUGUAGAUAGUAUGUAUAGGUAGGAAGUAGAAGCUUAAGUAUCGUUGUCCAUUAGUUUACUUCAAUUAGGGGAGUUGUAGUAGGGUUAGGGGAUAAUAAGAAAGUUAUUAAAAAGUCCCUCAUUUUAUCCGAACCUCUAACCCCUAACGUUUAACCCCUAACCCUGACCUAUCUGUUACACUGUCCCUCCAUCUGGCCUUACUUCCUGUUAGUCCACCUCAAUCCUUCUCUCUCCCCCUAACUAUCAGCCUUACCCCUUGCACUCCUGCUUUCCUUCCCAAACGUCCAUCCUGAACCCCUGUACCUCCUGAACAAUGGUAGCAUUAUAUUGAUAACCUCUAUGUAUCUAUCCUUGUGCUCCUACACCUGACCUAACCCCUCUGUAGCAGUUUAGCUACAAUACCUUCCCUAAAUCUCAGGCACUGUACUGUAGAUAUUGCUUCUUGUGGAACACACAUUCAUUCUCAAACACCACACACACAAUAUGCACUCAUAUCUCAGGCGUUCUACUGUAGAUGACACACAUAUACACGAACGAACACACACACACACACCAUGCUCUCUCUCUCUCUCUCUCUCUCUCUCCUGGGCACUUUAACAUCUUACCUCUGUAAGGUACUUCUCCUGCCUCCCUCCAUCCUCCCAAACAAACCUCUAGUCAUACCACCCCAUAUUCCCUAAACCCUAUACCACCCAAACAAAUGACUCUCUACACCGUAUCUGUCAUGGCUACCUAGACCAUUGGAUGCCAGUAAGCUACAGUGGCCCUUGCCAACCCCCUGCCCCCGCUGUACCAUGCUGAAGCUUGAACUGUCCUCUCUGUUAUGUUUGCACAACAGCUACUGUGGUUUCCUGUUUGUUUUAGGAUGAAUCCUAUGAGCUGGCAUCGAAUGCAUUUUUUUAAAGACUAUGACAAUGAACAUUUUAAUGUUUGAGUACAUGUACUAUUGUUCAAUGCUUGCAACGUUUUUCCCUGUUUAAUUUCUAGAUCCUGGAUGAAUAUGAUUUGAUUGCUAUGUUAUUUGUAAUAUUCUCAUUCCUUGAAGGAGAGAACAUGAAACAUAAAAAAGGUGAAUGUUUGUUACGUAGAUGCCUUUGCCUGACAUGAGAAUCUUGCGUUAAGAAUAAAUUAUUCCCAAAAAGA
Long non-coding RNA from Oncorhynchus tshawytscha (Chinook salmon), 3565 nucleotides. RefSeq lists it as uncharacterized. The transcript is spliced from 3 exons. Lineage: Eukaryota; Metazoa; Chordata; Actinopteri; Salmoniformes; Salmonidae. The record is from RefSeq and is a predicted model, not a curated record.